This 425-nucleotide ribosomal RNA is filed under the name uncultured bacterium. RNAcentral's name for it is "bacterial SSU rRNA". It matches the Rfam family "Bacterial small subunit ribosomal RNA", at positions 354 to 796 of the family's 1533-position model. The record is from RNAcentral.
GUGGGGAAUCUUGCACAAUGGGGGAAACCCUGAUGCAGCGACGCCGCGUGAGUGAUGAAGCCCUUCGGGGUGUAAAGCUCUUUCGACAGGGACGAUAAUGACGGUACCUGGAGAAGAAGCUGCGGCUAACUACGUGCCAGCAGCCGCGGUAAUACGUAGGCAGCAAACGUUGUUCGGAGUUACUGGGCGUAAAGAGUGCGUAGGCGGUUCGCCAAGUUUGGUGUGAAAUCUCCCGGCUUAACUGGGAGGGUGCGCCGAAAACUGGCGAGCUUGAGUGUGGGAGAGGGAAGCGGAAUUCCUGGUGUAGCGGUGAAAUGCGUAGAUAUCAGGAGGAACACCGGUGGUGUAGACGGCUUCCUGGACCACAACUGACGCUGAGGCACGAAAGCGUGGGUAGCAAACAGGAUUAGAUACCCCAGUAGUCC